Capra hircus (goat) is the source of this 484-nucleotide long non-coding RNA. RefSeq lists it as uncharacterized. The transcript has 3 exons. The record is from RefSeq and is a predicted model, not a curated record. Lineage: Eukaryota; Metazoa; Chordata; Mammalia; Artiodactyla; Bovidae.
AGCCACCGCCAUGAUGAAGGGAGCACUGCUUGUGCUGGCCUUGAUGGUGACCAGAGAGCUAAUGUUCCAGACGAGUGAGGCGGAAGCCCGCCUAUUUUUUAUGGAGUGUUUGGCACAGUGAGCCUUGGAAGCAAAACGUUGUUGAAUGCAACACUUGAUUUGGUUGCUGCUACUGAUGAGGAAAAAGCAGCUCUAGGAAAAAUCCAGGAUUGCUACAAUGAGGCGGGACUUGAUGGCAAGUUUUUGGAUCUGCUCCUCAUGGUUUCCAUCAACCUGAGUACGGAUUGCAUCAAACAUUCAGUCUCCUCGGUGGUGAAUUCCAUUUUAUGAGCCAUACUCAGUGUGCUCUCUUUGUUGACAUAGUCUUUGCCAGGGAUGCCUCAUCUGCACUUGAUCUUCCUGCCCUUUUUCCUUCUCAACUGAAUCUAGACACCUGUCCCCCCUGAUGUGCUCUUUAUCAGGUUGACUCUAAUAAAAUAACUGC